CUACGGGGGGCACCAGUGGGGAAUAUUGCACAAUGGGCGCAAGCCUGAUGCAGCCAUGCCGCGUGUAUGAAGAAGGCCUUCGGGUUGUAAAGUACUUUCAGCGGGGAGGAAGGGAGUAAAGUUAAUACCUUUGCUCAUUGACGUUACCCGCAGAAGAAGCACCGGCUAACUCCGUGCCAGCAGCCGCGGUAAUACGGAGGGUGCAAGCGUUAAUCGGAAUUACUGGGCGUAAAGGCACGCAGGCGGUUUGUUAAGUCAGAUGUGAAAUCCCCGGGCUCAACCUGGGAACUGCAUCUGAUACUGGCAAGCUGGAGUCUCGUAGAGGGGGGUAGAAUUCCAGGUGUAGCGGUGAAAUGCGUAGAGAUCUGGAGGAAUACCGGUGGCGAAGGCGGCCCCCUGGACGAAGACUGACGCUCAGGUGCGAAAGCGUGGGGAGCAAACAGGAUUAGAUACCCGUGUAGUC
This 463-nucleotide ribosomal RNA is filed under the name uncultured bacterium. RNAcentral describes it as "partial 16S ribosomal RNA". It matches the Rfam family "Bacterial small subunit ribosomal RNA", at positions 339 to 795 of the family's 1533-position model. The record is from RNAcentral.